UUCUCCUCUACUAAUUACUGCAAUGACGAAUCUGAACUAUUGUCAAUACUCAUCAUCGUCAACUGUAGCAAGUAAAAUGAUCACGUUCAAUGUCUUUGUCUUGAUUAAGCCUAUUGUAUAUAAACCGAAGCUGUCCAACAAUAUUUGCCAUUUGUUAACUGAAGCUGCGUCAGUCGACAUGACGAUUUGUGAAAAAAAAUGUUUCAUCUCAUUUUUGUAUUUCAUCAUCAAAUCAUCAUCAGACAAUGAAUGAAUUAUAAUUUUUUUUUGUUCAUACAGAAUUCCGUCUUGUGAUUCAGUUCUGUGUAUUAAUUGGUGUCGUGAAAGAUGAACUGGUCUGGAAUGUUGUAUAAUAAUGCCUAAGCAUACGUCCUUUAUGUGUUAAAAUUAUUGCAAUUCUGAACAUGUUUCUAUCGUGCACAAUUUUACUGUGAAUAAUUUUUGUAAUAAACUAUAGUCAGAUUUGUUGUUUGCCAAGUGUUAGUUCAUCAGGAUAUUAAAGUGACUGAAUUUUAUGAAACGAUUUCAUUCGAAAAUUCUGUGCUGUGCUUAGUGAAGUGUUGUGUUUCAUCAUCAUCAUUGUGUUUCCAUCUUGUUCAUCUGAAUAUCAUCAUUAUCUUUAUUAGUCAAUAACCCGGUAUAUUUUCAGCGAAUUGACGCAACAAGUUUCAUAAUGAAUUUCGUGUUGUGAUUCAGUGCUGUGAUUAAUUUGUGUUUGUGAAGUGUUUCAUUGGUGUCAUCUUUAUCAAUUAGUGAAUUUCGUGUUGUGCAUAGUGCUGUGCAGUGAUUUAUUGGUGUUAGUGAAGUUUUUUUUGAUUCAACUCGUCUCUAAUUCCAUAUGUGGUUUGCUAUCAACUUGAUAUUCAUCAGACAAUGUAUCAACAAGUGUCAAAUUGAUUUCUGUUUGUUGAUUAUUUUAUUUGUGUUUUGUGUUGUGUUAUGUGUCCAUCUAGAAUCCAUCUUCAUAUCGUCAAUUCAACUCAGCUAUCGACUCGACAUUUAACAUUGUCAUCUCUGAUCAACUUGAUCGACUCGACGUUCCCGGACAACUGCAUAGUAGGUGUCAUUUUCAUU
Non-coding RNA from Dermatophagoides farinae (American house dust mite), 1074 nucleotides. The record is from RefSeq and is a predicted model, not a curated record. Lineage: Eukaryota; Metazoa; Arthropoda; Arachnida; Sarcoptiformes; Pyroglyphidae.